AACGAACGCUGGCGGCAUGCCUAACACAUGCAAGUCGAACGAGACCUUCGGGUCUAGUGGCGCACGGGUGCGUAACGCGUGGGAACCUGCCCUUAGCUUCGGAAUAACUCCCCGAAAGGGGUGCUAAUACCGGAUAAUGUCUUCGGACCAAAGAUUUAUCGCCUUUGGAUGGGCCCGCGUUGGAUUAGCUAGUUGGUAGGGUAAAAGCCUACCAAGGCGACGAUCCAUAGCUGGUCUGAGAGGAUGAUCAGCCACACUGGGACUGAGACACGGCCCAGACUCCUACGGGAGGCAGCAGUGGGGAAUAUUGGACAAUGGGCGAAAGCCUGAUCCAGCAAUGCCGCGUGAGUGAUGAAGGCCUUAGGGUUGUAAAGCUCUUUUACCCGGGAUGAUAAUGACAGUACCGGGAGAAUAAGCUCCGGCUAACUCCGUG
RNAcentral lists this ribosomal RNA (433 nucleotides) under uncultured bacterium. RNAcentral's name for it is "partial 16S ribosomal RNA". It matches the Rfam family "Bacterial small subunit ribosomal RNA", at positions 29 to 507 of the family's 1533-position model. The record is from RNAcentral.